Long non-coding RNA from Triticum dicoccoides, 1091 nucleotides. RefSeq lists it as uncharacterized. NCBI's taxonomy places the organism in Eukaryota, Viridiplantae, Streptophyta, Magnoliopsida, Poales, Poaceae. The record is from RefSeq and is a predicted model, not a curated record. The transcript is spliced from 3 exons.
AAGAGUGUUGGGAGAAGCGGCUGCUACAGAACGCAUCGCACGCUAUAUGCUCAUGGGUCUUCAGGUCAGGGAUGGGAGGCUCUUCUACAAGCUCAUGAUCGACAUCGAGGAGCUGCAUAUCCUUAUUUAUAGAGAUAAUUAUAAGUUUACGAGAAAUUUAGUGUGCUCUACAUCUAAUUUCAGAGGAAGUACAUGCACUGUAGCAGCAUGCAAGUGGGUUCAUGCCAUUGUACAUAGCAAGUUCCAGCUGCUGUAUAUCCUUACUUUCAGAGACAAUUUGUAGUUUCUGAGAAAUAUAUAUUUCAUAGCACGAGCACGUGACUAUGAGAGAUUAUUAGAACAGUAGUUCUACCUACUAUCACAUGUAUUUUUCCGUUGAUUGUACAAGUUUACAUGUACAUCUCUGAAUAAAGAAGAACCUUAUUACUGAAGUUAUAGAAACUGAGGUGGUGUUGCUCUAUAUAUACAGGCUAUUAUUUGCAUGCUUUUUCUGAAUAAGUGCAGUUUAAAAUGUGUUGAAAUCUAAGAGCAGACAGUUGCAUGUUCGACUUCCGUUGUGCAGUACCAUUUCUUGCAAAAUACUUUCAAUUAGAAUAGUUGUCGUGCAAUAUUUGCCUAGCUCUAAUACCAACCAUUCCUCACAAAAUACAUACAUCUUUUUUAGUGUCUGAAUUUUAUUAUCUGUUGGCGAUCAGUUUUUCCUACUGCAGUUCUUGGAUGUGCUAUCCUUCCUUCUCACUCUCAGGUUGUAGCAGUAAAUGGAUGGCAAGCAUCACGAAGCAGCUCAGCUCCAUCGCCUCCAGUGGCAGCAAGGUUUGCACCAUGACAUUUUUUCCUGUGAUUAAUUGAUCUUCAUACCAAGAAAAUCCUGUUCAAGGGAUAUCGUGCACUCUGAUUUUCAGUGCUUUUUAUGAGAAGAGGGUUGUCAAGUAAUUAAUUUUAUCUUUGAUGUGAACAACAAUAAUACUUUAGGGUUGAUCAAUGAUCAACACCUGUGUAAUAUGUAGCAUAAGUUGUGGCUCAUGGUAGUACAACAGUACCUGAGAUGGAAAGCCAAUCAUUAAGAUUUUUUUCGAAGACAAUCACUUAAG